AUAACGAAGCUGAAAAUAGAUAGCAAUCCUUUUGCCAAAGGAUUCUGGGAUUCCUCCAGGCUCACUGACCUUGAGAGGGAAAGUGUGGAGAGCCUGAUUCAAAAGCAUUCCAAUGCACCUUCACCCAUCCGUACCUAUGGAGGAGAAGAAGAUGUCUUGGGGGAUGAGAGUCAGACAACCCCAAAUCGAGGGUCAGCCUUUACAACAUCUGAUAAUUUGUCUCUCAGCUCCUGGGUAUCAUCUUCUUCCAGUUUUCCUGGGUUUCAGCACCCACAGUCCCUGACUGCUCUUGGCACCAGCACAGCAUCCAUAGCAACACCCAUUCCUCACCCCAUCCAGGGUUCUCUGCCGCCAUAUAGCCGACUGGGAAUGCCUUUGACCCCAUCGGCCAUUGCCAGCUCCAUGCAAGGGAGUGGCCCCACAUUCCCUUCAUUCCACAUGCCGCGAUACCAUCACUAUUUUCAGCAGGGGCCCUAUGCUGCCAUUCAAGGACUACGCCAUUCCUCUGCUGUGAUGAUGCCAUUUGUAUGACUCUUCUAAAAUAGGGAGAAUCCAGAUCCAGAAUGUGCAAGUGGGUAUGGAAAUAUAGGACAGGGCUGGGUGGGUGGGAUGUGGGGUAUUGGAGUAGGGGCUUUCCAGGAGACACAGGACCUAUCAAAGAGGAGAGCCGGACUCACAAUAAAACCUACCACUGAGGGAAUGCACCACGGACCAGGAUUCAUCUGAGGGACAGCUCCUGGGUUCAGGAGAGAAUCCAUGUAAAGUUCUCAGCCAGCCUGAAAGUUUACUAAUACAAGGCUGAUGAAUCUUAAAGUGCAUUAUUCCUCAUGGUUAAAACGCUGUGUUGAUGCAGUAAAAGAUAAAAGAAUCUUCAAAGAGGCCAUACUAUAUAGCAUACUGAUCAUAAUGACUAACUGAAGUCAAUUUAUCCCUGUAGAAAAUGGGAGCCAGUAGAGAAAUAUUUGUAGUGCUGUAGCAUAAGCAUGUUUAGUUUUCUUUUGUGUUAUUCUGCUGGGGAAGGAGCUGAGAUAAUGCUAAUGCAUCCUGUUUUGUGGAUGAAUACAUGGUAAUGACCUCACAAAGUUCUAUUUGUAAUAUUGAAGGGCCAGUAACCAACAAGCUCAGUUUUCACAGUCUUCUUUCUUCCCAGUUCUCUUUAUUGCAAAUACUUGCCAGAGUUAGGGUUGGGGCUAGAGUUAUGGAGGAAAAAUCCUCCAUAUACAGUUUUGAAGCAAGAGCCUCUCUAUAUUACAUGGUGAAACUGAAGUUUGAUUUUUCUGGGCUGCAUUCUAAACACACUACUGACUAAUUCACUGAGGAACACUCCAAAGCCUAGGCAUGAUGUUCUGUGAGGCUUGCUUUCACUUACAGCUGCAACAGAAGGAUGGUUGUUCUAUUCCAGAAGGAUUUCUCUGCUGUUGGUGCCAGAGAUCCCUUCAUUUUCACUUCAGUUUUGGAAGACCUUGUGGAUGUUAAAAUGCAUCUGGACAAAUUCUCAUUUUCAGUAAAUCUGCCUUGUGGUUGCUGCCGCUGAUUGACAAGGAUUUGAGAAUGACCAUUCUAAAUGCCAGGAUAGCCAUGAUUUAACUUAUGUUCCUGAGUGGAAAUGUGUCCAUACAUCUAAUUUGGCCUUUUUCCUUACUGUGUUACAUUUAGUGACUCCUUUACCAUUUUGCUAGGUCUGUAAUCUUAAAUUGCUUGAUAACGUGAUGGCUCCAUAACUGAAAUGUUGGCAAUUCUUAUAAGCAAUCUAAAGCAUUCUUCCACUUUAUUUUCAACUUUUGCUAUCUUCUUAAGCCUUCCUUUAAUGUUUAUAAUAGUAACAAAUAUUUUAGUUAUAUAUGACCUGUAUAUUGUUUUUGAACAGCAUAUAUAUAUAUAUAAAAGCAUUUACAGUCAGGGUAACACAUUUGGCAUUUUGCAACAAUUUAUUUCCCUAAUAACAUAGAUUUAAUGAAAUUAAUAGUUUUUCAACUUUAGAUUUAAUGCACUUCAACUACAGGAUGUAACCUGUCGUCUUAGCAAAUUUCUCCAAAACUCUAAUUUAAUUUUUGUAUGUAAUAUUCAUUCUACUCUUCUUGCUACAAAAGUAUUGAAUCUGUUAAAAGGGAUGGGAAAUAUUUCUACUGACAGUAGAAGUGUAUUUGGGGGGAAAUGCAAUAUACUUAUCACAUCAGACUCCCGUGGGAUUUUAUUUGGUGGUUUUAAUGUUAGCCUUUUUCAUAUCACAUGCCUUUCUGGGCACUUCCAGCCUGUGAAACAAGGCAUCAUGGCACAGCCUGUCUAGGUGAUGCUGUUGUUGGAUUUUGCACUUGUUAUUCUCCACUGUACUCCAAAGUUUACUUACAGAAAAGCAUGGGCUGCGUUAACAAAGCAUCUCACGAUCCUACAGCAAACACUGUGGGCCAAUUUUUAACUUGUUGCAUGUUAUGCUGUAGUACCCACAUGUAGUUUGUUUUCAAACAAAGUACAGGUGUGCAUUUCUUUAAAAAAGCAGUUAUGAGUAAUGUUUAAACUAUCCAUAGAGCUAGGAUAGGGGUUUACUGUUUAAUAGCUGGCCUGUUGCCAGUGCUCCUUUGAAUAUAGAGUACUGCUGCUUAAAGCAGGAAUAACAAAAGAUGCUGUUUUACAUAAUGCUACUCAAUACCCUGAUAAAUUACUGGUCUACUAAGGUGAAUCUGUAUCUGAAUUUUAUUUUCAAAGAAGAUGAAAAGAUUGUUUUAAUACAUACUGUUUUGACAUUUCUACCAA
Molecule: long non-coding RNA, 2751 nt
Organism: Homo sapiens (human)
Lineage: Eukaryota; Metazoa; Chordata; Mammalia; Primates; Hominidae
Source: Ensembl